GACGAACGCUGGCGGCGUGCUUAACACAUGCAAGUCGAACGGAAAGGCCCUGCUUUUGUGGGGUGCUCGAGUGGCGAACGGGUGAGUAACACGUGAGUAACCUGCCCUUGACUUUGGGAUAACUUCAGGAAACUGGGGCUAAUACCGGAUAGGAGCUCCUGCUGCAUGGUGGGGGUUGGAAAGUUUCGGCGGUUGGGGAUGGACUCGCGGCUUAUCAGCUUGUUGGUGGGGUAGUGGCUUACCAAGGCUUUGACGGGUAGCCGGCCUGAGAGGGUGACCGGCCACAUUGGGACUGAGAUACGGUCCAGACUCCUACUGUAGGCAGUAGUGGGGAAUAUUGCACAAUGGGCGGAAGCCUGAUGCAGCAACGCCGCGUGCGGGAUGACGGCCUUCGGGUGGUAAGCCGCUUUCGCCUGUGACGAAGCGUGAGUGACGGUAAUUGGUAAAGAAGCACCGGCUAACUACGUG
This 468-nucleotide ribosomal RNA is filed under the name uncultured bacterium. RNAcentral's name for it is "partial 16S ribosomal RNA". It matches the Rfam family "Bacterial small subunit ribosomal RNA", at positions 28 to 507 of the family's 1533-position model. The record is from RNAcentral.